ACGCGAGUGCGAUAAGGGGACUCCGAGUGCGAGGGCAUAUAGUCCUCGCUUUUCACGACCGUAAGGUGGUCGUAGAAUAAGUGCUGGGCAAGACCGGUGCCAGCCGCCGCGGUAAUACCGGCAGCACGAGUGAUGACCGCUAUUAUUGGGCCUAAAGCGUCCGUAGCUGGCCACGCAAGUCUAUCGGGAAAUCCGCGCGCUUAACGCGCGGGCGUCCGGUGGAAACUGCGUGGCUUGGGACCGGAAGACCAGAGGGGUACGUCCGGGGUAGGAGUGAAAUCCCGUAAUCCUGGACGGACCACCGGUGGCGAAAGCGCCUCUGGAAGACGGAUCCGACGGUGAGGGACGAAAGCUCGGGUCACGAACCGGAUUAGAUACCCGGGUAGUCCGAGCUGUAAACGAUGUCUGCUAGGUGUGGCACAGGCUACGAGCCUGUGCUGUGCCGUAGGGAAGCCGUGAAGCAGACCGCCUGGGAAG
RNAcentral lists this ribosomal RNA (477 nucleotides) under Natrinema sp. SSIN13. Its description in RNAcentral is "bacterial SSU rRNA". It matches the Rfam family "Archaeal small subunit ribosomal RNA", at positions 359 to 835 of the family's 1478-position model. The record is from RNAcentral. Lineage: Archaea; Methanobacteriati; Methanobacteriota; Halobacteria; Halobacteriales; Natrialbaceae.